Molecule: small nuclear RNA, 192 nt
Filed under: Oidiodendron maius Zn
Lineage: Eukaryota; Fungi; Ascomycota; Leotiomycetes; Myxotrichaceae
Description: U2 spliceosomal RNA
Rfam family: U2 spliceosomal RNA
About the family: U2 is a small nuclear RNA (snRNA) component of the spliceosome (involved in pre-mRNA splicing). Complementary binding between U2 snRNA (in an area lying towards the 5' end but 3' to hairpin I) and the branchpoint sequence (BPS) of the intron results the bulging out of an unpaired adenosine, on the BPS, which initiates a nucleophilic attack at the intronic 5' splice site, thus starting the first of two transesterification reactions that mediate splicing.
Source: Rfam by way of RNAcentral
UUCCCAGCUUUGCCUUUUGGCUUAGAUCAAGUGUAGUAUCUGUUCUUUUCAGUUUAAUCUCUGAAAUUCAUCUACUUGAUGAAACUUUGAUUAUACUUAUUUUUGUCCACCGGGAACUGACCUCCUGGCUUGCCAGUGUCAGAUCCCACUGUGUCACUGGUAUUACACUGUCUCCAGUUGACGCGACACCUC